RNAcentral lists this ribosomal RNA (253 nucleotides) under uncultured bacterium. RNAcentral describes it as "partial 16S ribosomal RNA". It matches the Rfam family "Bacterial small subunit ribosomal RNA", at positions 524 to 776 of the family's 1533-position model. The record is from RNAcentral.
UACGUAGGCAGCGAGCGUUGUUCGGAAUUACUGGGCGUAAAGAGUGUGUAGGCGGUGCUCUAAGUUCGGUGUGAAAUCUCCCGGCUCAACUGGGCGGGUGCCGGGGAGACUGGCGGACUUGAGGAGCCUAGAGGCCGGUGGAACUCCCGGUGUAGUGGUGAAAUGCGUAGAGAUCGGGAAGAACACCAGUGGCGAAGGCGGCCGGCUGGGGGUGUCCUGACGCUGAGGCGCGAGAGCGUGGGGAGCAAACCGG